CUUGGUGGCAGUGAUGCCAUUGAUAAUCCCAGCUCUAUGAGAUCUUCAAUUUGAAGGUCCAAGAAUAGAUGCUAUCAGUUUCUGUCUGAGCCUCUAA
This is a small nucleolar RNA of Populus nigra (black poplar), 97 nucleotides long. The record is from RefSeq and is a predicted model, not a curated record. NCBI's taxonomy places the organism in Eukaryota, Viridiplantae, Streptophyta, Magnoliopsida, Malpighiales, Salicaceae.